UCAAGGGUCACCCCACGAGGGCACCUUUGUACACGCGUGAAGCCCGCUUGGAUGCACACCGUCUGGGUGUCUCCAGAUGUGGACAUUUUUAAGCAGUUAGAUUUUCUAUUCCUUCCAGCCCCUCAACCCCACCCCCACCCCUCCCAGCAAAUGGAUAACAGGAAACAGCCAAAGCUUCUUAACUUUUCUUUAAUCUUCCCCUCUCUGGCAAACUGAAAAAUCAAACGAUAAUUGUCUGGGUGAUCUCAUUAUUGUCAACAAAAUCCAAGCCUUGAAGUCCGAAUACACUGAAAUGCUGACACAUUAAACACAAAAGGAAACCGCUUGCAUGUUGUUCAAUAAAUAAAUAAGGCUGGUGGGAGCUCGGCGCAGGCCUGGCACACUGCACACUGAGGGGCUCUGUGGUCGGAAAUGCUGGGACUGCGAGAUGACCACGGGGACCCGGGAAGCGUGGCAUCUAGGAAAGACUAGGACCAGGAGGUCAAGGUCCCAUCCUUCCUGUUUGUAUCAGUCAGGCCUGGCAGGAAACAGAUGGACAGAUGGCACCUUCCCAAGGUGAACAUGGAGGCUUUGAGUUGAAGUGAUGGAGCUGCAAUUUGAUCUUCUGGAUUAUGUAUCACAUCUAGAAGAAGUCUGCCCCGGAGGGUGGUCUUGGACCUACAGCAAGCUUCAUGGGAGUGAAAAAUAAACUUCUGUAGUGAUUAGCCACUGAGCUUGCAGGGAUGCUUGCUACUGCAGCACAGCCUUGCUUGGACUGACUGGUACAAGCACUACCAUAUGCAAGUAUUUUUAUAUAUAUUAUUAUUUCAUUUGAUCCUCGCAUCUCUAGAGGCAGGUAUUAUUAUCCUCUCAAUAAGAGGUAGACCCAGAAGUAGAGCCAGGUUUCUUUGCCUCCUGAGCCCUGGGUCUUAGCAAUUAGGUAGAUGCCACCCCCUAAAACAGGGAAAUUUGGGAGGCAGGCAUGUAAAUGGUUAACUCAAUGCAGAAAUGCCCCUUGUCACCGUGGGGUCUUUGUUGAGGAAAUUGUAAUCCUUCAAGUGUGGCCUCCCAGAGUCUGGGAAAAAAAUGUUCCCAGCUAAAAGUAGCUACACCAGAGGGUCCCAGCCAAAGUCCAACUCUAGGUUGGCAGAAUUCUUGGAUGGCUUGGAAUUCCUGCUGGCCAAGGUUCCACUGGCAUGGAAGUGUUUACACUCACGUCAAAUUAGUUCUCCCACGCCUUCCAGAGCCUCAGCCCAUAUUUGGGAUGGAAAGGGGAAAAUGAUUCCCAGGGGAGAUUCAAAAGCAUCAGAAAAAUUCCUCAGGGGCCGAGGCUUCUCCGUGUGGCUUGGGGCUCUGAGCAGGGUCUCUCAUACCUGGACCCCGUGCCAGCAGGGCAGCCAAGCCAGGAGCACAUGAACCCCCUCACACACUAAUUCAGAAGGAAGGCAUUUCUGCAGUGACCCUUGGGAGACCCAGAACAGAUCCAUAGCCAAAUGAAGUGCAAGAAACAGGAAAGAAGAAAAGAUCUAACUUGCGUUUCUGUCUGUUGAAAGUAGGCUUUUCUUCCUCCCUUCUAGAAGAUGCUAUGUGAUUGGAGUGCCUUUAGCCGCGAGAAGCAGAAAACCCAGUAAAAGCGUCUUUGCAGAAAGGAAAGCUCCCGGAAGACUGUGUAGAGUGUACCCUUUUUGUGAGGCUCAAAAGCAGGCAAAACAAAGCAAUACGUUGUCUGGAUAUACAUUUACAUGUGAUAAAACUAUACAAACCCAUACAAGGGAAUGAGAAACACAGAAUUCAGGACCGUGCUUAUCUUAGGGGCAAAUGCAGGGAGGUGGUCAUGGGGCCAGUUCGAGAGGAGCACAUAUGGAGGAGUAAUCACUAUUGGCAAUAUUCUAGUUCUUGAGUUGAGUGAUGGGUUCAUGGGUGUUCGUUAUUUUAAUAAAUAUCCCAGUGGCAUGUCAUGAAUCAAGGCUCAUGAUUAAUCCAGUUCUGUCUACCUAAGAUCUAUUUUUAAAGGGGAACUCAAUAACAGCCAACACUUGUACACCAUUUCCUGCGUGCCAGGCACUGUUAUAAG
This 2053-nucleotide long non-coding RNA is filed under the name Homo sapiens (human). RNAcentral's name for it is "HSALNT0230780". Lineage: Eukaryota; Metazoa; Chordata; Mammalia; Primates; Hominidae. The record is from RNAcentral.